Long non-coding RNA from Labrus mixtus (cuckoo wrasse), 908 nucleotides. RefSeq lists it as uncharacterized. The record is from RefSeq and is a predicted model, not a curated record. NCBI's taxonomy places the organism in Eukaryota, Metazoa, Chordata, Actinopteri, Labriformes, Labridae. The transcript is spliced from 2 exons.
GCAAAAAUAAUGAUGUAGUUGUAAUUUAUGUUAUGAGGUUGAACAUAUUUUAAUUAUAAACGCAGCCGCUCGUUAUAAAGGAUCCCUCACCCCCUCCAAAGCUACUUCAAUUCACCCCGCUGUCAAUCACACUGAAGAGGACAGUCCACGCUACCUUACCUAGCGAUAAUUAAGUGUUUUGGGACUUUGUGCAGCAUUUAUAAAAGAUCGGGCGACUAAUUCUCACACUCACACCGUUCAAAUGGAAAUACAGGAUAUUCCUUUAUCAGGGGAAGGUAACACGUGCGCAUGUGUGACAUUAAUGGAGUUUUGGCGCUGUAACAGGUGACGAACACGAAAGAACAAUUAAAUCGUCCAUCACAGAGCAACAGAUGGAGCAGCACAACAGGAUAUUCCCGAUAAGAGGAUUCGUCCUCCUUUGCCCGUCACUGUGGACAUUUUUAUUUUUGUGAGAACAGACUCUUUCAUCGUGACCCAGCUCCUCUGGCUUACUGGAACGGGUGUGGAGUCAUCUGUUAAGCCCUCUGAAACCCGUCACUGUACUUGUGUUGACCUGCUUGGCAAACAGAAAUCCUCGAUCGAGCCCGCCGUGAGUUACAGUAAAAGAAGUAACAACCAGGUGGGAUCAGAAAAUCUUUCUUGUGUCUUGAGUCUCUGAAAGUGCGACCUUUUGCUCAGAACUCGCAGGGUAUGUGCCAGCUCUGCUUGUGGUGAGGUGUCAAGUUCACUCACCUGUCAAGUAACACGGUUACACAAGAGGCAGUGUGUACACUUCAACAUGGCAGUUCAUGUGUGUUAUAAAACAAGAAGAUCCCUCAGCAACAUCUGAAACUUUACAAAUCAAGAAAUCUGAUUGGUGCUGUAAGCCUAAUUAGCAUCACAUCAUAACAAAUAAAACAGAGGGACUA